RNAcentral lists this ribosomal RNA (253 nucleotides) under uncultured bacterium. Its description in RNAcentral is "partial 16S ribosomal RNA". It matches the Rfam family "Bacterial small subunit ribosomal RNA", at positions 524 to 776 of the family's 1533-position model. The record is from RNAcentral.
UACGAAGGGGGCUAGCGUUGUUCGGAAUUACUGGGCGUAAAGCGUGCGCAGGCGGCCAUCCAAGUCAGUGGUGAAAGCCCGGAGCUCAACUCCGGAAUUGCCAUUGAAGCUGUUUGGCUCGAGUACGAGAGAGGUGAGUGGAAUUCCCAGUGUAGAGGUGAAAUUCGUAGAUAUUGGGAAGAACACCGGUGGCGAAGGCGGCUCACUGGCUCGUAACUGACGCUCAUGCACGACAGCGUGGGGAUCAAACAGG